AACUGAUACUACCUGCGGGAACCUGCGGAGGGAUCAUUAGUGAACGCCCUCACGGGCUUAUAACUGUUCCAAACCUCUGUGAACCGUGCCCUUCGGGGCUAUUUUACAAACAUGGUGUAAUGAACGUCAUAUAUCAUAACAAAACAAAACUUUUAGCAACGGAUCUCU
RNAcentral lists this unclassified non-coding RNA (168 nucleotides) under soil metagenome. RNAcentral's name for it is "partial contains 5.8S ribosomal RNA, internal transcribed spacer 2, and large subunit ribosomal RNA". The record is from RNAcentral.